This 537-nucleotide ribosomal RNA is filed under the name uncultured bacterium. Its description in RNAcentral is "bacterial SSU rRNA". It matches the Rfam family "Bacterial small subunit ribosomal RNA", at positions 102 to 674 of the family's 1533-position model. The record is from RNAcentral.
ACGGGUGAGUAACGCGUGGGAACAUACCCUUUUCUACGGAAUAGCUCUGGGAAACUGGAAUUAAUACCGUAUACGCCCUACGGGGGAAAGAUUUAUCGGGGAAGGAUUGGCCCGCGUUGGAUUAGCUAGUUGGUGGGGUAAAGGCCUACCAAGGCGACGAUCCAUAGCUGGUCUGAGAGGAUGAUCAGCCACAUUGGGACUGAGACACGGCCCAAACUCCUACGGGAGGCAGCAGUGGGGAAUAUUGGACAAUGGGCGCAAGCCUGAUCCAGCCAUGCCGCGUGAGUGAUGAAGGCCUUAGGGUUGUAAAGCUCUUUCACCGAUGAAGAUAAUGACGGUAGUCGGAGAAGAAGCCCCGGCUAACUUCGUGCCAGCAGCCGCGGUAAUACGAAGGGGGCUAGCGUUGUUCGGAAUUACUGGGCGUAAAGCGCACGUAGGCGGAUAUUUAAGUCAGGGGUGAAAUCCCAGAGCUCAACUCUGGAACUGCCUUUGAUACUGGGUAUCUUGAGUAUGGAAGAGGUAAAUGGAAUUGCGAGU